This 253-nucleotide ribosomal RNA is filed under the name uncultured bacterium. Its description in RNAcentral is "partial 16S ribosomal RNA". It matches the Rfam family "Bacterial small subunit ribosomal RNA", at positions 524 to 776 of the family's 1533-position model. The record is from RNAcentral.
UACAGAGGUCUCAAGCGUUGUUCGGAUUCAUUGGGCGUAAAGGGUGCGUAGGUGGCUUUGUAAGUCAGUGGUGAAAUCUCGGAGCUUAACUCCGAAACUGCCAUUGAUACUGCUUAGCUUGAAUCAAGUAGAGGUGGAUGGAAUAUUACAUGUAGCGGUGAAAUGCUUAGAUAUGUAAUAGAACACCGAUUGCGAAGGCAGUUCACUAUGCUUGUAUUGACACUGAGGCACGAAAGCGUGGGGAUCAAACAGG